AUAAUUCUUGAAGUCAAUAAUUGUGAAUCAUUGUCAAUCUAUCAAUCCUAUCUUUUUAGUAAGAUGAUCGAAUCAUCUUUUACUAAAAAAGAUGAACGAGCCAAUGAUAUUCUAAAUCUGAUACAUAUUGAUAUAUUGGAUCUACGAAUAUUUUUGUCAUAAAUUUAGUUUAUUUAAAAUAUUCAAAUAAUUUCUUAAUAAGAUAGAGAAACAAACUG
RNAcentral lists this long non-coding RNA (218 nucleotides) under Elaeis guineensis (African oil palm). RNAcentral describes it as "long non-coding RNA (EGUI_LNC048540)". Lineage: Eukaryota; Viridiplantae; Streptophyta; Magnoliopsida; Arecales; Arecaceae. The record is from RNAcentral.